Molecule: transfer RNA, 71 nt
Filed under: Berkelbacteria bacterium GW2011_GWE1_39_12
Lineage: Bacteria; Candidatus Berkelbacteria
Description: tRNA-Trp
Rfam family: tRNA
About the family: Transfer RNA (tRNA) molecules are approximately 80 nucleotides in length.
Source: RNAcentral
GGGAGCUUAGUUAAAUGGUAUAAUGCUGGUCUCCAAAACCAGCGUCGUAGGUUCGAUUCCUACAGCUCCUG